This 564-nucleotide ribosomal RNA is filed under the name Microsphaeropsis arundinis. RNAcentral describes it as "eukaryotic LSU rRNA". The stretch from base 196 to 349 matches the Rfam family "5.8S ribosomal RNA". Lineage: Eukaryota; Fungi; Ascomycota; Dothideomycetes; Pleosporales; Didymellaceae. The record is from RNAcentral.
GGGUUCGUCACGGUGUGGUCGCGGCCUCCGGGGGCUCCCCCCGGGCGGUAGAGGUAACACUCUUACGCGCCACAUGUCUGAAUCCUUUUUUUACGAGCACCUUUCGUUCUCCUUCGGUGGGGCAACCUGCCGUUGGAACUUAUCAAAACCUUUUUUGCAUCUAGCAUUACCUGUUCAGAUACAAACAAUCGUUACAACUUUCAACAAUGGAUCUCUUGGCUCUGGCAUCGAUGAAGAACGCAGCGAAAUGCGAUAAGUAGUGUGAAUUGCAGAAUUCAGUGAAUCAUCGAAUCUUUGAACGCACAUUGCGCCCCUUGGUAUUCCAUGGGGCAUGCCUGUUCGAGCGUCAUCUACACCCUCAAGCUCUGCUUGGUGUUGGGCGUCUGUCCCGCCUCUGCGCGUGGACUCGCCCCAAAUUCAUUGGCAGCGGUCUUUGCCUCCUCUCGCGCAGCACAUUGCGCUUUAGAGGGGUGUGGGCCGCGUCCACGAAGCAACAUUAUCGUCUUUGACCUCGGAUCAGGUAGGGAUACCCGCUGAACUUAAGCAUAUCAAUAAGCGGAGGAA